GCGAUUUGAUUUUCCAAAGAGAGUUUGCUUUUCCUUUUAAAUCUGCCAAAGUCUAAACUGAAAUUGUUAGUAAUAAUAAGAUAAGACCUUUUGUUUGUUAAAAAAUAAGUUUGAAAUUAAUAGUGAUCAGACAUUAGAGGAACAAAAGUGAGCAGGAUUCCUAAUUUAGCCUUUACCUACGAGUCAUGGUUUGCCUAUGUUCCUAGAAAAUUAAAGUAUCAAAAUAUUCCAAUAACAAAGUUGGUCAUUUAGAGAUAUACAUAUGAAAUGGAAAACAAUAACGAAUAUUAUUCAAAGUAAAAAAAGAGAGAAGAUGGACUCUUUGACAAUUGGGCUGGUAAGCUUAGCCAGGCCCAACAAGAUUUAGAUCAAAGCGGCAGACUCCAAUAUGAUAAAAAGGGAGCAGUCUGGAUUUGAUUUUGGGAUAGAGUCCAAAAGGAACUCAGCAGGCCCAAUUCGAAACAUGUACACAAAAAUUAGAGGAUAAUUAGUGUAUUUGAAGUAUAGAACGAAAUAAGAUAAAGCUUAUGAUAAAUAAUAAUAAAGAUCUGAGGAAUAUGGUGAGGCCAAUUUUAUUUGUGCUAAUCCUAUGAGGAUUAAUAAAAGUUAAUAACUAAAGGCUUUGAGCAAAUCCUUGUUUAUGGAUAAGGAUCCCCUUGUGGGCCCAUGAUACUUUAGAGUUCACAAGGGUCUCACGGACACCGAGCAGUGCCUGUGUCAGGGAGAGGUGCCUUAACCACAAACCAGAUUUCCUCCCAAAUACCAUUAGUCACCUACUCUUAAUCUUCCUCAAAGAUUUAGGCACAAAUAAAAGGAUCAACUUAGUAAUUUCACAUUGCCAGGAUAUAAAUAGUAGGUGUAAAGAGUCAUGGUAAGCCUUUCAAAGGGUCAGACACAAAAUAAAUUCAACAACAUUAAGCAAACAGAAUACAGUAAUUCAUCAUCAGGACACUAAAGCAACUCAAGGCACAACAUUGACUUAGGGAAGUUCAUAUCAGAGUGUGGGGUAUAAGGAUACGACAUUACAGAUGGAAUGGAGUCACUGUUGGGACAUAAUCAAACAAGAUUAAAGAGUAUAUGUAAUUGGUUACACAUAGACAUGCUUCAUUACUCAUAUCUUUAGACCCAAAAGUGUUAACUGGCAUGUAUCCUACAUUGAUGAUCCCAAUCAUUUGUUUUAUUGGCUUCAAUAUAUCCUAAGUAGGUGCAGAUCAUAAGGAGAGUUCAUAGAUACUUCUAAAAGCUUCAGCAAAGUUAAGAGCAAGCAUACAUCUCGUUAAGAUCUUAUCAUUUUAACAGUUAGGACAAUAGGGUCAUCAAUCAGGAAAGAGUUAAUGUUAGUCUUGUUUAAUCCUAAUGGAUUGAUUAUAACAAUACAGAGUUCAUCAAGCUUUCCGACUAUCAGACUUAAACAACUUCACGUUAAGUCCUCUACAGGUAAUGACACUAACAGGUAUAAGACAAUAGGUGAUGAUAUUCACUUUAACUUGAUAAGGCAAACAUGUCACAAUAUACUAACACCUGGACAUGCAGACCAGUUCACUAGCAAGACUUAGUGCAUGAUUCUGUGUACAGGUCAUUAUAAUUUCACGGCUCGGGCUAACAGUUAUCAUUUAAGCAAGGAUGGAUCAUUAGGGAUAGUCUCUUAUGGAGGAUCACUCACUGAACAUAAACCAAUACACCAUCAUAAAAGAUAAGGAUUAUCAUAGGUUACACAUCGAUACAAGUAUAAAUCUCUUCAAGAUAAGGUCGUUAAAUACUUUAUGGGCACAACAACACUAAUACAAUAUGUAUGAACCUAGGCAGAGAAGUUAGGAAGAGUCAUCUAAUUAACAUAACAAUAGGAACUUCAUGUAUAUUUCAUCACAGAACUCAAACAAUCAUGAGAUGACAUUCAUUACAUGAGUCAAUCCCAACCAAUUACAUUCAGACAUGAGAGUAUGAUUUCUAACAUACUAUCAGGGUUCAUUAUAUGCUUUCUUUUGUUUCCAAUCAUCAUAAAAAGCACACAGAAAUCACUAUAUUAUAGUAGCAUGAAUAGGAUGCUAAUUAUAGCCCAAACAAAUCAACAUGAGAACAUGAGAAAUGCCAUAAUUAUGUUCCGAGGAGUAAGGAAAAACAUCAUAGAAUCACAUAUAUCAAGAUGGCUUAGUGUCGGUAAAUAUUAAUAGUAUUUUCAAGAGAAGUUUAAAAAGUCUGAUUUUAUUCCAUUUUGAUCUUCACGAUAAUAUAUACAGAAUCAAUUACUUAACUAACAAAUCACAUACAAUAUUAUCAGCAUAGUAUGUAAUUCAAUUAAUCAUGAAUCUUAAUAGGGUCUAAGGGUAACAACAGUACAGGUACAUGGAUCACUGAAUGUGCAGAACAAGAAGGUUAUCAACGACAAAUUUAUCAGCUAAGGUUAUCAAAGCAGACAGGUUAAUGAAAAGGCAUGAAACGCAUGGAGAACGCUUCAUUAGGCCAGGACAUGGCAACAUAAAUGUCAAAAGCAGGUGGAUCAAGUUAAUAUUAUUACUAAAAGUGCAAAAUAUUAGGGAGAGUUCAAGAACAUGAUUCAAUUAGCUUAGCUGACAUGAUAAUGCUUAUAUAAUUGUUGUUUGACUAAUAGAGGAGAGUUAUACACAAAAUUGAAACAAAAGUUGACUCAGCUAAGCAUGGAGACUUAAUAAGAUCAAUCAUAAUAAUAUCACUUAAUAUAUAGUUCAUUCCUACUGACCAGAUAAUAAAUGAUAGGAUUCAAUAGCACAUAUUUCAUAAUAGAUUUAAUACAACUUAACUUAAUCAGAAGAUUCCUAAUUUAGCAGUGAAAAUAGCAUGCAAAGACAGGACAUAACAAAUACAACCUUACAUUACUAAUAGCUAACAUAAAAAACAGAGAAUCAACUAGGAAAUCAUUAAGAACACAAGACUAUACAAUUAAUUCAAGGUAAAGAAAGGGGUCAUUUUGCACUGACCUUCUAUAGGGCAGCAAACCAAGCAAAUGUUGAUUCCUAGUUGUUUGAAACUACAAAGUCAUAACAGUCCACUUAGAGUGAUUGAACUCACCCAGAAAUGAAAGAGGAAAAUAAGAAGUUAGAGAAGAAACUACUGUAACCUAGAUUUAGCAGAAGAAAAUUAAACUUUUGAUUUCUCAUUGUAUAUGUGAGUGGUGUUAGUGUGUAUUGAUAUCUAUCGAUGUUUGUUAGAUGAGAGCAUUUAAGGCCAUAUUUAUAGUGGCCUUCAAUGCCAUAGGGUUCCGAUAGAAUAUAAUUUUGUUAGUGAAAAGUGACGAAUGGUUGAUGAUGAUAGUAAGGCGGGUGAAAAUAAGAAGAAAAAAUGGAAAAAACAUCAAAGAACUUUUACCUGGGCACGAGGCUUGAGGAAUCAGCCGUUGAGAAUGAAGAUCAAUCGGCCAAAGCUCUAAUGUCCAGAGGUCACUGCGUUUGACCUUCGGACAAAAUAAUAAUGAUUUAAAUCAGACAUACAUGUUCCGAUUUGAGGGAUGAAGGAAGAACAGAUGACUUUCAAUUGCAUGAUUUUAGGUCUAGGGUUUAAUUUGGGAGUUUUGAAUUGCAUUGACGAAAAUGAAAAUGAAUUGGCAGGAUUCACGGAUACAGAAAUAGGAUGGAUGAUUUAGGGUUGAAUCAUGUGACCUUGCACAAAUUUGUGUAAGGUUUGAUGGGGUUGAUGGAUGAGAGAAAAGAGAAGAAAUUGGGAAAGAGGGGCGGCCGGUCAAGGAGCAAAUGAGUAGGGUUUAGGGGUGUCUCUAAGAUUAUG
Molecule: long non-coding RNA, 3756 nt
Filed under: Nicotiana tabacum (common tobacco)
Lineage: Eukaryota; Viridiplantae; Streptophyta; Magnoliopsida; Solanales; Solanaceae
Description: long non-coding RNA (NTAB_LNC001827)
Source: RNAcentral